CCUACGGGAGGCAGCAGUGGGGAAUUUUGGACAAUGGGCGCAAGCCUGAUCCAGCAAUGCCGCGUGAGUGAAGAAGGCCUUCGGGUUGUAAAGCUCUUUUGUCAGGGAAGAAACGGCUGAGGAUAAUACCUUUGGCUAAUGACGGUACCUGAAGAAUAAGCACCGGCUAACUACGUGCCAGCAGCCGCGGUAAUACGUAGGGUGCAAGCGUUAAUCGGAAUUACUGGGCGUAAAAGCGUGCGCAGGCGGUUUUGUAAGUCUGUCGUGAAAUCCCCGGGCUCAACCUGGGAAUUGCGAUGGAGACUGCAAGGCUGGAGUCUGGCAGAGGGGGGUAGAAUUCCACGUGUAGCAGUGAAAAUGCGUAGAGAUGUGGAGGAACACCGAUGGCGAAGGCAGCCCCCUGGGUCAAGACUGACGCUCAUGCACGAAAAGCGUGGGGAGCAAAACAGGAUUAGAUACCCUGGUAGUCCACGCCCUAAACGAAUGAUUAACUCGACAUUAGCGAUAAUUACUGUUAGUGUNUAGAGAAAGANAUAAGUUAAUCGUCCGUGGAGGUUAGGUUGUCGAGAAGUAAAAUUAAAAGUUAAAGUUAGAGAGNGAGAGAGCGAGACGACGACGAGGAGGAGGAGG
This 630-nucleotide ribosomal RNA is filed under the name uncultured bacterium. RNAcentral describes it as "bacterial SSU rRNA". The stretch from base 1 to 547 matches the Rfam family "Bacterial small subunit ribosomal RNA", at positions 338 to 873 of the family's 1533-position model. The record is from RNAcentral.